Long non-coding RNA from Alnus glutinosa, 437 nucleotides. RefSeq lists it as uncharacterized. Lineage: Eukaryota; Viridiplantae; Streptophyta; Magnoliopsida; Fagales; Betulaceae. The transcript is spliced from 2 exons. The record is from RefSeq and is a predicted model, not a curated record.
CCCCCUUUUUAUGUUUUGGAUAAGCAUCACAUGCCAAGAUUGGGAAACACUGGUAUAAAUAAGACGUAGGAGUGGGAGGGAUGUCAUACACUAUUUGGUCGUUCAGAAGAUGGUGAGAAAGGAAAAAUUGGUUAUUGCUCUUGCAUGGCUCCUGGUAAUGGCAUCCAUGAUCGUGUCAGCACAGGUGAUGCAGGGUGCUCGUCUGCAUGCAUUUGAGCAUAUGGUUCAUCCCCAAGGUUGUCGCUGCUGCUGGUUCAUUUGGAAGCCACUAAUCCACUGUGGAAAAACAUGUUGUGAAGAUGGAUGUUGCACUUGAUGCAUCAUAGAACAUAGAAGAGUUAUACUUUGUCACUAACAGAUGGUGUUGAUGCUCAUCAAAUAAAAUGAAUAAAUCUUACGUUGGAACAGCAAUGUUCAUGCGGCAUAAAGUUCUGACU